UACUUAGGGUGCAAGCGUUAAUCGGAAUUACUGGGCGUAAAGCGUGCGCAGGCGGCUAUGCAAGACAGAUGUGAAAUCCCCGGGCUCAACCUGGGAACUGCAUUUGUGACUGCAUGGCUAGAGUACGGCAGAGGGGGAUGGAAUUCCUGGUGUAGCAGUGAAAUGCGUAGAUAUCAGGAGGAAUACCGAUGGCGAAGGCAGGUCUCUGGGCUGACACUGACGCUCAUGCACGAAAGCGUGGGGAGCAAACAGG
This 253-nucleotide ribosomal RNA is filed under the name uncultured bacterium. Its description in RNAcentral is "partial 16S ribosomal RNA". It matches the Rfam family "Bacterial small subunit ribosomal RNA", at positions 524 to 776 of the family's 1533-position model. The record is from RNAcentral.